Pelobates cultripes (western spadefoot toad) is the source of this 280-nucleotide non-coding RNA. NCBI's taxonomy places the organism in Eukaryota, Metazoa, Chordata, Amphibia, Anura, Pelobatidae. The record is from the annotation of a GenBank genome assembly.
GAAAGAUCUCUACUAGGAGGUCUUUAACCAACUCCCAAUAUUUAAUCACUUUGGGACAGGUCCACCACAUGUGGACAUGGUUCUCGUUAACCUGCUGCCCCUCCAACAUAUAUCGGAAGUGUAUGGAACUGUUUUAUGGAACUGUUUGACAGGAGUGAUAUACCACCUAAAUAUGAGAGUAGAUAAGUUAAUCUGCCACUCUGAUUGUCUCAACAGGACAGUUUGCUGCCACCCGGGUGCUCAGGUCUGGCACGUGGCUGACAGAGUGGAUGGAUUAUUG